RNAcentral lists this ribosomal RNA (253 nucleotides) under uncultured bacterium. Its description in RNAcentral is "partial 16S ribosomal RNA". It matches the Rfam family "Bacterial small subunit ribosomal RNA", at positions 524 to 777 of the family's 1533-position model. The record is from RNAcentral.
UACGAAGGGGGCUAGCGUUGCUCGGAAUCACUGGGCGUAAAGGGUGCGUAGGCGGGUCUUUAAGUCAGGGGUGAAAUCCUGGAGCUCAACUCCAGAACUGCCUUUGAUACUGAGAUCUUGAGUUCGGGAGAGGUGAGUGGAACUGCGAGUGUAGAGGUGAAAUUCGUAGAUAUUCGCAAGAACACCAGUGGCGAAGGCGGCUCACUGGCCCGAUACUGACGCUGAGGCACGAAAGCGUGGGGAGCAAACAGGG